This 468-nucleotide ribosomal RNA is filed under the name uncultured bacterium. RNAcentral's name for it is "partial 16S ribosomal RNA". It matches the Rfam family "Bacterial small subunit ribosomal RNA", at positions 28 to 507 of the family's 1533-position model. The record is from RNAcentral.
GACGAACGCUGGCGGCGGGCUUAACACAUGCAAGUCGAACGGAAAGGUCCGGGUUUGGGGCGGUGCGCGAGGGGCGAAGGGGGGAGGAACACGUGAGUAACCUGCCCUUGACGGAGGGAUAACUUCAUGAAACUGGGGCCAAUACGGGAUAGGAUCUCCUGCCGCUAGAGGGGGGCUGGAAAGUUUCGGCGGUUGGGUGUGGACCCGGCGCUUAACAGCUUGGUGGUGGGGUAGGGGCUUACCAAGGCUUUGACAGGUAGACGGCCUGAGAGGGUGGCAGGCCCAGUUGGGACUGGACUACGGCCCAGCCCACUACGGGAGGCAGCAGUGGAGAAUAUUGCACAACGGGCGGAACGAUGAUGCAGCACAGCCGCGUGAGGGAUAACGGCCUUCGGGUUGUAAACCGAUUUCGUCUGUGCCGAAGCGUGAGUGACGGUAAUGGGUAAAGAAGCACCGGCUAACUACGUG